Molecule: RNA transcript, 6716 nt
Organism: Python bivittatus (Burmese python)
Lineage: Eukaryota; Metazoa; Chordata; Lepidosauria; Squamata; Pythonidae
Source: RefSeq, a predicted model, not a curated record
CUAGGACUUUGGGCUCUCCCGUCUUGAGACUCUUCCGGCAGGGGAAGAGGCUGCGGGGAUGGAGAUCCAGACGGGAUUCUGGAUAUACAACUAGAAGCCUUUUGUGUCUCCUUGUUUGGAAACAAAGCCUCCUAGAGUCACUUAUACAGUGAGAUGGGCAGCAUAUAAUAAAAUAAAUCAGUAUCUCAGAAGCAAAGAGGGCUGAACAGCCUUGGGAGACUUGUCCAGGACCUCUUCCUGCACUUCAGGUACUGUGAGUGAAAAGAUUGGUGAAGAUCCAGAAAUCCAUUGGUCUCAUUUCGAGCUGGAUUAGAGGAUAAAGAGAAAAUGGAGGGACAAUGCCCAGCAAUUGCAGAAACUGGAAAAAGUCCUCCAGCACCUCAGCCUGGGAGCUGUGGGGAGAUCUGGGUAAAAAUUGGGCAGGAGAUCCUGGAGGAUGAAAUCAUCAGGUCAGAAAUACUAUGCUGGAACUUCCGGAAUGUCCACUACCAGGAGGCCAAGGGGCCCCGAGAUAUUUGCAGCCGCCUCCACCACCUUUGCCAUCAAUGGCUGCAGCCCGAAAGACACACGAAGGCUCAGAUGCUGGACCUGGUGCUCCUGGAGCAGUUCCUGGCUAUCCUACCACCAGAGAUGAAGAACUGGAUUCGGGAAUGUGGAGCAGAGACCAGCUCUCAGGCGGUGGCCCUGGCUGAAGGUUUCCUGCUGAGCCAAGCAGAGGAGGAGCAGGAAGAUUUGCAGGUCCAGAGGCCCUUCUUAGAGUCCAUCAUCAGGCAUCCUGAGGGAACAAGGGAGCCAUCAAAUUGGUUACAGAAACUCAUUUUCAGAGGGAUGUCCCAGGCAGAUAUCUCACCAGAGAAUAGAAGGGUACCAUUGCUAUUUGUAGGAUCGUCUUUUUCUGGUGGAGCUGAAAGAACUUCUGGAGCUCAAGUUCAGGGUCUUGUAUCCUUUGAGGAGGUGGCUGUAUCUUUCUCUGAGGAGGAGUGGGCUCGGCUGAAUGUCGAUCAAAAGGCUCUGCAUAGGGAGGUCAUGCUGGAGAAUUCCAGGAAUGUGGCAUCUCUGGGAAUGAAUGGGUAUAAGAAUGAAAAUGACAAGAAACUAUUCCAAACAAUCAAGUGUGAAGAAGGAAAAGGGAUAAUCACAGAUCAAAUGGAAGCAAGAAGGCAAGAAGGAAACAAAUCAAACUAUGGGAGGAAGAAAAGCUCAAUUUUUCAAUUUGCUCCAGUUCAAGACAUCAGUAUUCAUCACAAAGGAAAAAGAAGAAAAUACUUAUGGAAAAAUGUGAAAAUUUUCAAAGAUAAUUUAGAUUUAAAUAAACAUUACAGAACUCACACUAAAGGACAGCAAUUUCAGUACAGGGAGGAUGAAAAAAGUUGCAAUCCGACUUUCCGACUUUCUUUACGUGAGAGAGUAAAGAUGGGAGAGAAACCAUAUAAAUGCAUGGAAUGUGGAAAAAGUUUCAGCAAAAGUAGUUCCCUUGUUUCCCAUAAAAGGAUCCACACGGGGGAGAAACCCUAUAAAUGCAUGGAAUGUGGGAAGAACUUCCGUGAAAAAGGGUCCCUUAGUAUUCAUAAACGGAUCCAUACAGGGGAGAAACCAUAUAAAUGCAUGGAGUGUGGAAAGAGCUUCAGGUGGAGCAGUUUGUUUACUUACCAUAAAAGAAUCCACACAGGGGAAAAACCAUAUAAAUGCAUAGAAUGUGGAAAGAGCUUCCAUGAAAAUGGGGCCCUUACCACUCACAGAAGAAUCCACUCAGGAGAGAAACCAUAUAAUUGUGAGGAAUGUGGGAAAAUAUUCCGAAAAAGGAGUUUUCUUGCUUCCCAUAAAAGGAUCCACACAGGGGAGAAACCAUAUAAAUGCAUGGAGUGUGAGAAGAGUUUCAGCAAUAGCAGUUCCCUUGCUUUACAUAAAAGGAUCCACACGGGGGAGAAACCAUAUAAAUGCUUGGUAUGUGGGAAGAAUUUCCGUGAAAAGGUCUCUCUUCGAAUUCAUAAAAGAAUCCAUACAGGGGAGAAGCCAUAUGAGUGUAUGGAGUGUGGGAAGAGCUUUAACAAUAGCAGUUCCCUUACUUUACAUAAAAGGAUUCACACAGGGGAGAAGCCCUAUAAAUGCAUGGAUUGUGGAAAGAGCUUCCGUGAAAAUGGGUCCCUUAAUAUACAUAAAAGAAUACAUACAGGGGAGAAACCAUAUGAAUGUAUGGAAUGCAGGAAAAGUUUCAGCAAAAGCAGUUCCCUUGCUUUCCAUAAAAGGAUCCACACAGGGGAGAAGCCAUAUAAAUGCAUGGAGUGUGGAAAGAACUUCCGUGAAAAUUUGUUCCUUGCUAGACAUAGAAGGAUCCACACAGGAGAGAAACCAUAUAAAUGCACAGAAUGUGGAAAGAGCUUCAUGUGGUACACUCAACUUACUUGCCAUAAAAAUAUUCACACAGGGGAGAAGCCAUAUAAAUGCACAGAAUGUGGGAAAAGCUUCAGCAACACAGGUUACCUUACUUCCCAUAAAAGGAUCCAUUCAGGGGAGAAACCCUAUAAAUGCUUGGAAUGUGGAAAAAGUUUCCGCGAAAACGGGUCCCUUACUGUUCAUAAAAGGAUCCAUUCAGGUGAGAAACCAUAUGAAUGCAUUGAGUGCGGAAAGAGCUUCACAUGUAAUAGUCAGCUUACUUCCCAUAAAAGUAUCCAUACAGGUGAGAAACCAUAUAAAUGCCUGGACUGUGGAAAGAGCUUCACUUGGAGCAGUCAGCUUACUUCCCAUAAAAGGAUCCAUUCAGGCACAAAACCAUAUAAAUGUUUGGAAUGUGGGAAGUGUUUCACAUAUAACAGCUACCUUACUUCCCAUAAAAAUGUCCACACAGGGGAGAAACCCUAUAAAUGCAUGGAGUGUGGAAAGAGGUUCAGUAGUAGUAGGCAACUUACUUCACAUAAUAGCAUCCACACCGGAGAGAAGCCAUAUAAAUGCCUAAAAUGUGGAAAGAGCUUUAGCUAUAGCAGUCAACUUACUUCCCAUACCAGUAUCCACACAGGAGAAAAACCAUAUAAAUGUAUGGAAUGUGGAAAAAACUUCAGCAACAGCAGUUCCCUUUCUUUUCAUAAAAGGAUCCAUACAGGGGAGAAACCAUAUAAAUGCUUGGAAUGUGGAAAGACCUUCCGUGAUAAUGGAUCCCUAACUAAUCAUAAAAGAAUCCACACAGGAGAGAAACCAUAUAAAUGCCUGGAAUGUGGAAAAAGCUUCCGUGAAAAUGGGACCCUUACUUCCCACAAAAGGAUCCACACGGGGGAGAAACCAUAUGCAUGUCUGGAGUGUGGAAAGCGCUUCACAUGGAACCAUCAGCUUACUUCUCAUAAAAGUAUCCAUACCGGGGAGAAACCCUAUCAAUGCACAGAGUGUGGGAAGAGCUUCAGCAGUAGCAGUUCCCUCACUUCCCAUAGAAGGAUCCACUCGGGCGAGAAACCAUAUAAAUGCCUGGAAUGUGGAAAGACCUUCAGUGAAAAUGGAUCUCUUUCUAGGCACAAAAGGAUCCAUUCUGGGGAGAAACCAUAUAAAUGCCUGGAAUGUGGAAAGAGCUUCACAUGGAUCAGCCAGCUUACUUCUCAUAAAAGUGUUCAUACAGGAGAGAAACCAUAUCAAUGCACAGAGUGUGGGAAGAGCUUCAGCAGUAGCAGUUACUUUACUUCCCAUAAAAGGAUUCACUCUGGUGAGAAUCCCUAAAAAUACUAGAUGUAGUUGGUUCCAUCCAGCAAUAUCCUACUUCCUGAAGUAGAAAAGUAAGGGGUACAGAGAAGGAGAAUUAAAACAAGUCAAGUCUUCUGACAUCACAAGCAAUCAAGCAUGAACAGAGGAAGAAAACAUCAGGAAUUCAGCUGGAACCAAAAUAAAAUGAUUAACGUAGCACAAAAAUCCUCCAGUUCAAUAUGCUGCCGUCUAGGGGUUCUUCUUGACCAAGAGGAUCACAAAGGAACAAGAUGGGAAUUGCUUCUUAUGUGGAAAAAAACUCGAAAUAAAUGAGACUCCAGUCCAUGGCGUGGGACCAAGAUUACAGACAACCAAUACGGAUGAAGAAAACAUGGAACAUUUUUUAAUCAAAGGAUUCUCUUACUUUACAUUGAUGAACCCACACUAGAGAGAGAGACUAUAUGAAUAUAACAAGUAUGGAAAGGGUUCCAGGAGGGGAAAAUCCUUCUCAUUAAAGGAGCCACAGUGGAAAGAGAAGCCCUGUAAAUGACGGUGGAAAUGGUUUUUUUCCCAGGUUCUGAGUGCAAAUAUUACUUUUCUGUGAUUUUCGUCUUCAGCAUUCUUAGUGUAUCAAAUCUACAGAUGACAUAAAAUUGGGAGUGGUAGUGAUUCCCAAAAAGGUAAAUCACAGAAUUCAAGGUAAUUAACUGAUUUUAAAAAUAGUUUGAAAAAGUAAGCUUCCCAAAAUAUUGACAAGCUAGCACCAUUCUUAUUUUUUCUUUGUGUUGCUUUUUAGCAGGACUUUUCCCCCUUAUUCUUUCUUGCUCCAGCUAUUGUUAAAUAUCACUUUUUCCCCUUCAUAUUCAAAGAGUUUCUUUACAUCUUCUAUUCUACUUAGGGCAACAUUUCUACUUUAUUUUUCUUUGUGGCCUUUUUGUUCCUUUAUAAUCUUGAGAUACUGAGAUAAGGCAACCUUAUGUUCUUGGGAACUUUUCUGGCCUGUUUUUUAGCUAUUCAUUUUUCUCAAGGAGCAUUUUAUUUCUUUAAUCUAACAUGAAAGGCGUUUCUCCUCCAUUCCUUUAUUAAACAAACAUUAUUCAUACUCAGAAUCUGGCUACCAACUUUUUUUCCUAUAUUAUUUGCAAAGGAUUCCAUUUUUUCACUCAUUGAGCCUAUUCCAGCAUUAAUUUCACUACCGCUGCGUAAUUUCUUUGAUUGGUUUUCUCUUUAAAUAUUUAUCUCUUUCUUAGGGAUCUUAGUUUGCUCAUGUUCACUUCAAAGCUCAUGUCACAGUUGCUGUAUUUUACUUCCUUAGAUCAGUGGCUUCUGUCCAAUAAGCCAAAAGUUGGGUUUCUGUGUUCCCUCCCUUCCCCCCUGUUUUUUGGGGGGGGGGCUAUGCUGCCAUUUCUGGAAGUUCUUAAACACAUUUAAAAUCAAUAUAUAGCACUGUUACAGGAUUACACAAGCUUGUGCGCACUUAGGGUGCGGUUUGGCUUUUCAAGCUGUGAUCCCUAAGCCUUCCCCCCAAAUCCCUACAGCAUCUCCUUUGUAGUGUCGGGGAAGAACCUACAGGGGAGAGUCUGUUGAGUGUUCUACCACCAUCCACUUGAUUGUAAGGAAAUAGCUCUCUUUGCAGGGGUUUACUCAGGAGGAAAGGACUGGCAGGCCUCCUGCCUUCUUGUGAAGAGUUUAGCAAAGUGGCUGACAUAUAAGAAAGGCUAAAUUCCCUGUAAAGAGUGCUGGCUCAGUAAGAAAUUUGAAGUCGUUAAUGUGUAUGGAGAGCCGGUUUGGUGUAGUGACUAAAGUGCUGGGCCUGUGAGUUCUAGUCCUCCUUUAAGCAUGAAAACUAGCUGGGCGACUUAGGGCCGAUCCCCUUCUACCUCACAAGGUGGUGGUUGUAGGGAAAACAGGAGGCAGGAGUGUUAGGUAUGUACGCCACCUUAAGUUGACCACAAAAUAAAGGCAGGAUAAAAAUCUAAUGAUAAAUAAAUGUAAAUCACAGUUAAACAACUAUGUUGGAGUUGGAAGCAAAAAGGAGAAAGGGAGAAAAGGAAAAAUAACAAUGACUUCUGUGGGAUUUAUCUUUAUAGCAGCUCUCCAGCCUGGAAUACAUAGACACACACAAGUGUACAAAAAAUCAAAGAUAAUAGUUCAGAUCAUUUUCAUGAAAAAGAUCAAAAUCAUAAUUUUGCAUCUAGCCUUCACUCCUUCCUAAAUUGCUAUAUUUUUCCUGGAUAGCCAAUCCCUGUUUUCUUGGGAUUGGAGCUUCGGCUUCUGUGGCUUUGAGCUAGAAGAGAUGCUCCUACUCUUCAUGUGAAAGCAAAGGAUAAAAGCCAAAUGGAGGUACCCUGUUCCUCUCUUAAAGGUUGCUCAAGAGAGGGAAUGUUUUCCAGUUCUGAUUGUUUGCUAAGAAUAAGGUAUCUGCCUUAUUGAUAGUUUUUCUUCCGUGUUUGAACACCUUGCGAUGGGAUUUCCCCCUGUUCAUCACUAAGGGGAAAUAAAUUUUUGAACAACAAAUUAACCUUGACCACAUAGAAUAAUAUUGUUUGUUCAAAUCUUUUCAUUACAUCAAAGGGCCAGUUCAAAGAGAAUUAACAAUGCCUUCAGUCCAAGCUUUUAGGUCGGUAUAACACUAUUUUUCCAUAAAAGCAUAAGAGAGUUUUAGCUCUAAUCCAUGCUCACUAAACUGAAAGUUCUUCAUAAAUUGAUAAAUUCCAAAUUUAAUAUUAUUUUUAAAUCAAAAUGAGACAACCAUAGAACAAGGGCAAAUCAUGCUUGUCAAUAUCCCUGUGAAUAAAUUUCCAGUAUGAGGAUGUUGACCUUCAGCUUUUUCUAAACUUCCACUGAAAUGUUGAAUAAACAUGAAAAAGAACCAUUUGUGGAGUUAGUCUGCAAAGUUAAGAGUCUUCUGUUCUCCAGUCAUACCAGUAGGUUAGGAACUUCAGAUGUAAAUGUAUCAGGUCCAAAUCAUAAUGUCAUAAGAUACUUUAAUUCUUCAUGUAAACCAUCAGAUGUUAGGAAAGACUGAUUAACAAUAAACUGAUUUAGAGUAC